This 460-nucleotide ribosomal RNA is filed under the name uncultured bacterium. Its description in RNAcentral is "partial 16S ribosomal RNA". It matches the Rfam family "Bacterial small subunit ribosomal RNA", at positions 338 to 795 of the family's 1533-position model. The record is from RNAcentral.
CCUACGGGAGACAGCAGUGAGGAAUAUUGGUCAAUGGACGAGAGUCUGAACCAGCCAAGUAGCGUGAAGGAUGACUGCCCUAUGGGUUGUAAACUUCUUUUAUAAAGGAAUAAAACGAGGCACGUGUGCCUUUUUGCAUGUACUUUAUGAAUAAGGAUCGGCUAACUCCGUGCCAGCAGCCGCGGUAAUACGGGGGGUGCAAGCGUUGUCCGGAAUCAUUGGGCGUAAAGAGUUCGUAGGUGGCAAGUUAAGUCUGGUGUUAAAGGCGGAAGCUCAACUGCCGUAGGGCACUGGAAACUGGCGGGCUUGAGUGCGGUAGAGGUAGAGGGAAUGCCUGGUGUAGCGGUGAAAUGCGUAGAUAUCAGGAAGAACAUCGGUUGCGUAAGCGCUUUACUGGGCCGUAAUUGACACUGAGGAACGAAAGCCUGGGUAGCAAAUGGGAUUAGAUACCCGAGUAGUC